AUACGUAGGGUGCAAGCGUUCAUCUGAAUUACUGGGCGUAAAGCGUGCGCAGGCGGCUUUUGAAGUACGCAGUGCACAUCCCGGGCCCCAACUGGGAACUGCCUUUGUACCUGCCAGGCUUCAGCACGGCUGACGCGGAUGGAAGUCCGUGUGGUGGCGUGCAAUGCGUAGAUAUGCGGUGGGACACCGACGGCGAAGGCAAUCCCCUGGGCCUGUACUGACGCUCAUACACGAAAGCGUGGGGAGCAAACAGGAUUAGAUACCCUGGUAGUCCACGCCCUAAACGAUGUCAACUGGUUGUUGGGUCUUCAUUGACUCAGUAACGAGGCUAACGCGUGAAGUUGACCGCCUGGGGAGUACGGCCGCAAGGUUGAAACUUAAAGGAAUUGACGGGG
This 395-nucleotide ribosomal RNA is filed under the name uncultured bacterium. RNAcentral describes it as "partial 16S ribosomal RNA". It matches the Rfam family "Bacterial small subunit ribosomal RNA", at positions 523 to 918 of the family's 1533-position model. The record is from RNAcentral.